CCUGACAUUACGUGCCUGGUUCCUCUCUUGCCUCCCUCGCAAGAAGCAUUUCCUCUGCCUGCGGCUCUGACAAACACACUCCCAAAAGCUGCGGCGCACAGAGCCGGUGGCCAGCGGGACUGCGCUCCCGCGCCGGGCCGAGCGCAGCCCGGCGCUGCCGAGGCGCCCCCGCAUCCCGCCGCCGGCUUCCUCCGCACCACCGACCCCGUCCCUGCCCGGGGGCCCUUCCACCGACCCGGCCGAGCCGCCGCUCCCCUCCCGGCCGGCCCCGGCCCCGGCCCGGCCCCGCCGCGCCCCGUACCUGCCCCGGCCCGGCGGCGGAAGCGGCGGCGGCGGAAGCGGCGGCGGAAGCGGCGGGAGCGGGCGGAGCGAGCGGAGCCAUGUCGGGCCGGGAGGGUAAGGCCGGGCCCGGGGCCGCCGGUGCCGCCCGCCCGGCCCCGCCCGGCCCUCACUGUCCCCUCUGUCUUUGCAGGCGGCAAGAAGAAGCCGCUGAAGCAGCCGAAGAAGCAGACGAAGGACCUGGAUGAGCUCUGCAAUACUGUGAGCACUUGGGAACAACACAUUGCAAGAAAAACCCCACAGAAGUGGAUAAAUGUGAGGGAUUGAUUUACUAGGAAAGACACAUUAGCCAACUGGAGACAGGAAAACCUGGAGAGAGAAACAGAAUAUUCUGUUCUGUGAGGG
This 684-nucleotide long non-coding RNA is filed under the name Junco hyemalis (dark-eyed junco). Its description in RNAcentral is "lncRNA (ENSJHYG00000003199.1)". The record is from RNAcentral. Lineage: Eukaryota; Metazoa; Chordata; Aves; Passeriformes; Passerellidae.